AGUCGAGGGGCAGCGGAGAGGUAGCAAUACCUUUGCCGGCGACCGGCGCACGGGUGAGUAACACGUAUGCAAUCCACCUGUAACAGGGGGAUAACCCGGAGAAAUCCGGACUAAUACCCCAUAAUAUGGGCUCUCCGCAUGGAGGGUUCAUUAAAGAGAGCAAUUUUGGUUACAGACGAGCAUGCGCUCCAUUAGCCAGUUGGCGGGGUAACGGCCCACCAAAGCGACGAUGGAUAGGGGUUCUGAGAGGAAGGUCCCCCACAUUGGAACUGAGACACGGUCCAAACUCCUACGGGAGGCAGCAGUGAGGAAUAUUGGUCAAUGGUCGGCAGACUGAACCAGCCAAGUCGCGUGAGGGAAGACGGCCCUACGGGUUGUAAACCUCUUUUGUCGGAGAGUAAAGUACGCUACGUGUAGCGUAUUGCAAGUAUCCGAAGAAAAAGCAUCGGCUAACUCCGUGCCAGCAGCCGCGGUAAUACGGAGGAUGCGAGCGUUAUCCGGAUUUAUUGGGUUUAAAGGGUGCGUAGGCGGCACGCCAAGUCAGCGGUGAAAUUUUCGGGCUCAACCCGGACUGUGCCGUUGAAACUGGCGAGCUAGAGUGCACAAGAGGCAGGCGGAAUGCGUGGUGUAGCGGUGAAAUGCAUAGAUAUCACGCAGAACCCCGAUUGCGAAGGCAGCCUGCUAGGGUGCGACAGACGCUGAGGCACGAAAGCGUGGGUAUCG
This 723-nucleotide ribosomal RNA is filed under the name uncultured bacterium. Its description in RNAcentral is "bacterial SSU rRNA". It matches the Rfam family "Bacterial small subunit ribosomal RNA", at positions 60 to 770 of the family's 1533-position model. The record is from RNAcentral.